GGAAAAUUUGGGAAAAUUGAGAAAAAUUGGGAAAAUUUGGGGAUUUUUUGGGGAUUUUGAGAGUUUAGAGCAAAUGGAUUUGGGGAGAUUUGGUGGAAUUCUGAGAAAAUUCAGAAAUUUGGGGAUUUUUUGGAGAAUUUUGGGAAUUUUUUGGGGAGUUUUGGGAAAAUUUGGGAUUUUUUGGGAUUUUUGGAAUAUUUUGGGAAUUUUUUAGGAAUUUUUAGGAAUUUUUGGGGGAAUUUUUUUGGAGUUUUUGGGUCUUUGGGGUUUUUUGUGUGGAAUUUUUGUGGAAUUUUGAGAAGAAUUUUACCAAAUUUGAGGAAAUUUUUUUUAAAUUUUGGGGAGAAGUUUGGAAAUUUCUGAAAUUUGGGGGAAUUCAUUUGGAAUUUUGUAUAAUUUGAUAAUUUGGUGGAAUUUUGGGGAAUUUUCAGGGGAUUUUUUGAAGAUUUCAAGAAUUUUUUAUUUUAAUUUUGGGGGAAUUUUAUGAAAAAAAUUUUGGGGAUUUUUGGGGGUGAAUUUUCAGGAAUUUUGUGGUGAUUUUUGAGAAUUUUUUGGGGAAUUUUUUAAUGGAAUUUUGCUCAAUUUUGGCUUUUUUUGGUUUUUCCAGGUGGGGUCGGAGGAGCCUGAGGAGCCCCAGGGCUGCCCUCGGAUCAAGCACGUCUGCAGGAGAACCCCUGAUGGGGGAGCUCAUCCCAACCACACGGAGGCCACGCCCCCUGCUCAGGCCACGCCCACAUCGCAUACCCCGCCCUUUCCUCAGGCCACGCCCCCACCUCAGGCCUCGCUCGCUCUGCAGGCCACGCCCACAGCGCAAGCUCCGCCUCCAGGGCAGGCUUCGCUUGCAGUUCAGGCCACGCCCCCACUUCAGGCCACGCCCCCAUCUCAAACGCUGCCUGCAGUUCAAACCCUGCUCACGGCUCAGGCCACGCCCCCAGCUCAGGCCACGCCCCCACCUCAGGCCACGCCCCCACCUCAAAGGCUGCCCGCAGUUCAAACCCUGUUGAC
RNAcentral lists this long non-coding RNA (1005 nucleotides) under Junco hyemalis (dark-eyed junco). RNAcentral describes it as "lncRNA (ENSJHYG00000013235.1)". Lineage: Eukaryota; Metazoa; Chordata; Aves; Passeriformes; Passerellidae. The record is from RNAcentral.